AACGAACGCUGGCGGCGCGCCUAAUACAUGCAAGUCGAGCGAGAAGACGUAGCAAUACGUUUGUAAAGCGGCGAACGGGUGAGGAAUACAUGGGUAACCUACCCUCGAGUGGGGAAUAACUAGCCGAAAGGUUAGCUAAUACCGCGUACGCUCCUUGGACUUCGGUUCAGGGAGGAAAGCGAUACCGUGGGUAUCGCGCUCUUGGAUGGGCUCAUGUCCUAUCAGCUUGUUGGUGAGGAACGGCUCACCAAGGCUUCGACGGGUAGCUGGUCUGAGAGGACAAUCAGCCACACUGGCACUGCGACACGGGCCAGACUCCUACGGGAGCAGCAGUAAGGAAUAUUGCGCAAUGGGCGAAAGCCUGACGCAGCGACGCCGCGUGGGGGAUGAAGGUCUUCGGAUUGUAAACCCCUUUCGGGAGGGAAGAUGGAACGAGCAAUCGUUCGGACGGUACCUCCAGAAGCAGCCACGGCUAACUUCGUGCC
Molecule: ribosomal RNA, 485 nt
Filed under: uncultured bacterium
Lineage: Bacteria
Description: bacterial SSU rRNA
Rfam family: Bacterial small subunit ribosomal RNA
Source: RNAcentral